UUUUUUUAAGCUUGCAGUAUCUUCCAUUUCAGAGGACCACAUGUCGACAUCCCCACCAAUGCUCCAACAUCAUACGUAAACCAUGGACCAGUUACACAGGUGGAUGAACAGGCUACAUCAAACAAUGUACCCCAAGGACCGAUUACACGAAGUCGUGCCAAGAAGCUACAACAAGAGGUGAAUUCUCUCCUUGCUGAAUUGAAGUUACACACAAAUGAGAAUUGUUUACUACCUAAGUGUUGUACUCUUAUUGUGUUAAGGUUUACACAUAAGGACAUGGAUAACACUCAAUUGGAGAAAGGUUACGUGAAAUCAAGGAUGAGUUACAUGAAGACCAACAAGGUUGCUGUCCAAGCUGAGACAGGUUACAUAUGCGAGACCUUGAGUUGCGCCGCAGAUGCUUCAAAUUCUCAUGUAAGUCUGUACCAAUCUGCCAGGACUCGUGGUGCAUGAUACACAUGGGCCGCAGAUGCUUCAAAUUCUCAAGCAAGUCUGUACCAAUCUGCCAGGACUCGUGGUGCAUGAUACACAUGGGUAGAAGCUUCAUCAAGUCUAGUUUACAACGCAAAAAACGGCUCGUCAUUUGAACUUCCCCAUAAGGAGUUAUGGACAUUUUAAUGACCACUGCUAGAAGAUGAGGAGAUGCGCGAGAAAUGACACAAGUUGCUUCUCGGGAUGACCUUUCAGCUAGCCUAUCUCCAGAAACUCUAAGUCCAUUUCACACCCAGCUAGGAGGAUGUUCCUAGUAUAAACACCACAUGUAUCUCAGAGAUUACACAAGACUUUGGUAAUUAGAAUACACCCCCUUUGUUCAGCUGUGUGCUAACAAACAUUGAGAGACAGAGAUAUCUACCCCUUUGCUCUUGUGAUUUC
This 873-nucleotide long non-coding RNA is filed under the name Setaria viridis. RNAcentral's name for it is "long non-coding RNA (SVIR_LNC003366)". Lineage: Eukaryota; Viridiplantae; Streptophyta; Magnoliopsida; Poales; Poaceae. The record is from RNAcentral.